This 542-nucleotide ribosomal RNA is filed under the name Lactarius vietus. RNAcentral's name for it is "LSU rRNA". It matches the Rfam family "Eukaryotic large subunit ribosomal RNA", at positions 85 to 642 of the family's 3401-position model. The record is from RNAcentral. Lineage: Eukaryota; Fungi; Basidiomycota; Agaricomycetes; Russulales; Russulaceae.
AACUGCGAGUGAAGCGGGAAAAGCUCAAAUUUAAAAUCUGGCGGUCUUUGGCCGUCCGAGUUGUAAUUUAGAGAAGCGUCUUCCGCGCCGGACCGUGCACAAGUCUCCUGGAAUGGAGCGUCAUAGAGGGUGAGAAUCCCGUCUUUGGCACGGAUGCCCGGUGCUUCUGUGAUGCGCUCUCGAAGAGUCGAGUUGUUUGGGAAUGCAGCUCAAAAUGGGUGGUGAACUCCAUCUAAAGCUAAAUAUUGGCGAGAGACCGAUAGCGAACAAGUACCGUGAGGGAAAGAUGAAAAGCACUUUGGAAAGAGAGUGAAACAGUACGUGAAAUUGUUGAAAGGGAAACGCUUGAAGUCAGUCGCGUCGACCGAGACUCAGCCUUGCCUUGGCUUGGUGUACUUCUCGGCCCGACGGGUCAGCGUCGAUUUCGCUCCUCGGAUAAUGGCAAGGGAAAGGUGGCACCUUUACGGGUGUGUUAUAGUCUCCUGUCGCAUGCGAGGGGUGGGAUCGAGGAACUCAGCGCGCACCUUGGUGUCGGGGCUUCU